RNAcentral lists this long non-coding RNA (974 nucleotides) under Capra hircus (goat). RNAcentral describes it as "lncRNA (ENSCHIG00000000712.1)". Lineage: Eukaryota; Metazoa; Chordata; Mammalia; Artiodactyla; Bovidae. The record is from RNAcentral.
GUAAAAUUUUAUUUUUUUAUGGGAGAGACAGAGAAGGUAAUAAUUACAAUAUGAUGUGAUAGAACCUAUACUGUAUUAAUAAAGAGAAACUAAAGGAACUGUGCAGAAGGCUGCCUGACAAGAACUGUGACCCUAUAUCAACAGAUGCAGCCAGCUCGUGUUGAUCCCUCAGGGAGGACGCUGAAGCCGUAAGCAGCCAGAUUUUUGUCUCCUUCUCCUCUCUCAUGCCCUACUUAUGCUUGUCAAGUAGCAGCUCCACCAGAAGCUGGAGAGCAAGAAAGCAAUUGUGGCUGUCCAAGUGACAGGAAUAUCUCCACUGAUAUAUCCAGAUGGGCAGAUGAGCACCGAGACUUCAAAUGUUAUGCCUUAUCUCAACAAAUUAAGUAGAAACUCGAUUGUUUUUAAGGACAUCUCCUCAGAAUUGGCCUGAUAUGAUCAGCAGACUGAACUAUUUCUAAUGUAACAGAAGUUUAGCUUUGCUCUUCCUUCAGUUCAGUCACUCGGUCGUGUCCUACUCUUUGCGACCCCAUGGACUGCAGCACACCAGACAUCCCUGUCCAUCACCAACUCCUGGAGUUUCAAAAACAUGGCUCCCCUAACCACAGAGGGCCCUCUAAACCAGGCCCACAGCUCCUAGGGCCUGUCUUCCACCAGCUUCUGGAAUUGAAGAAUACAGGACAACACUGUUUCUAUAUUGCUGCAAGAGAAACAAUAAAAGCUUGAUCAGCUGAAUGCUUAAAUAUGGCUGAAUGUUUGAUGAGAUGAAGAUGUAAUUUUGUCUAUGUUCCCUAAGGAUCUGGAUUAAAUAUGACUACAGGGCCUAAUCAAAUAGCUAGUCACUGAACAACGGUCCCAACUGCAUUUUUCAUUCUAGGCAUGCCUUUCUCCCUCACCACCCCCCCAAGUACAUUACUUAUUCACUGGUUUGUCAGCAGUGUGCAUUAUUAGCGCUUGAGAGAUAAAACUUUAAGUGU